This 271-nucleotide unclassified non-coding RNA is filed under the name uncultured fungus. RNAcentral describes it as "partial contains 18S rRNA, ITS1, 5.8S rRNA, ITS2 and 28S rRNA". The record is from RNAcentral. Lineage: Eukaryota; Fungi.
AAGGAUCAUUCGUGUUUUAAUUUAAACAACACUCUUGUGCACUGUUUUUUGAAUGAUGGGGGCUUUUUUUGGGUGUAGGGUGUUGGGUGUUUGGGUGUGCGUUUGGGUGUUAUUACAACAGUCAAACACACACUCGCAAUACACCCACCAUUUUUCAGUCAAAAAAGCCCACGUAUCAUGACCCUUGACCUAUUUGACUGAAGAAAGUAAAUAACAAGAAAGCCAGUUGGCUUUUUUAAAACAACUUUCAGCAACGGAUCUCUUGGUUCUC